GACGAACGCUGGCGGCGUGCUUAACACAUGCAAGUCGAACGGAAAGGCCCUGCUUUUGUGGGGUGCUCGAGUGGCGAACGGGUGAGUAACACGUGAGUAACCUGCCCUUGACUUUGGGAUAACUUCAGGAAACUGGGGCUAAUACCGGAUAGGAGCUCCUGCUGCAUGGUGGGGGUUGGAAAGUUUCGGCGGUUGGGGAUGGACUCGCGGCUUAUCAGCUUGUUGGUGGGGUAGUGGCUUACCAAGGCUUUGACGGGUAGCCGGCCUGAGAGGGUGACCGGCCACAUUAGGACUGAGAUACGGCCCAGACUCCUACGGGAGGCAGCAGUGGGGAAUAUUGCACAAUGGGCGGAAGCCUGAGGCAGCAACGCCGCGUGCGGGAUGACGGCCUUCGGGUUGUAAACCGCUUUCGCCUGUGACGAAGCGUGAGUGACGGUAAUGGGUAAAGAAGCACCGGCUAACUACGUG
Molecule: ribosomal RNA, 468 nt
Filed under: uncultured bacterium
Lineage: Bacteria
Description: partial 16S ribosomal RNA
Rfam family: Bacterial small subunit ribosomal RNA
Source: RNAcentral